GCCUCGGUGGUGGAACCGGUAGACACCAGGGACUUAAAAUCCCUUGACCUUGAUGGUCGUGCGAGUUCGACUCUCGCCCGAGGCACCA
This 88-nucleotide transfer RNA is filed under the name Desulfofustis sp. RNAcentral describes it as "tRNA-Leu". It matches the Rfam family "tRNA". Rfam says of the family: Transfer RNA (tRNA) molecules are approximately 80 nucleotides in length. Their secondary structure includes four short double-helical elements and three loops (D, anti-codon, and T loops). The record is from RNAcentral. Lineage: Bacteria; Pseudomonadati; Thermodesulfobacteriota; Desulfobulbia; Desulfobulbales; Desulfocapsaceae. RNAcentral also lists the same sequence under 1 other name.